Non-coding RNA from Chelonoidis abingdonii (Abingdon island giant tortoise), 99 nucleotides. The record is from RefSeq and is a predicted model, not a curated record. Lineage: Eukaryota; Metazoa; Chordata; Testudines; Testudinidae.
UUACCUAGGGAGUAGAGUACGGAGUAUUAACCUGGUAAGGUUGCAUGGGAGUUUUACUAGUUUACUGUCUUCUGCUAACACGGGUGUUGCCUCCGUUUC